GCAUAGACAUGGGCGGUGAGGAGCACAGGCCUGCCCGCCAGCCCCGGGGUUGCAGCUGGAGGCAGCCCGACUCCUCCCCCUCCAGAACAGCGCGGGUGGUUACUGAGUAGCUCUCCCGGGGCUGGCUGCUCUUAUCCAAAUCCCUUGAAAACGCCUGUGUUUCAGAUCUUUUGAAGAAGAAAAGGGAGCAGUAACAAAUCAUACGGCAUCUGUCCUGCCCCGACCCCUCAACAAGUUGAAGGAGGCGCAGCCUCUUCCUGAGCAAUUGCAGAGCUAAUGACAAGCAGCCGCCAUAGACAGAAGCCACCGCUUUCCGUCAGGCCCAGGGACACUGGAGCAGGCCUCUCCUGAUGCAGCUCUGCACAGACCAAAGCCCAGCGCACAGCUGAGGAGACGCCUGGGAGGAACCUACAGCUCAGACUAGCAGGAAACCAAGCACUGAGAAGGACAGGGAAGGUCCAUAGACGCGAUGAACUGACUCCUUACCCGUGCGCUCUGGCCGGCUAUCAGCUGGUCGUCCUCUGUUUGGACACUUGUCCUGCUUCUGACGUCAAAGUCUUCC
Long non-coding RNA from Rhinolophus ferrumequinum (greater horseshoe bat), 562 nucleotides. RefSeq lists it as uncharacterized. The transcript is spliced from 3 exons. The record is from RefSeq and is a predicted model, not a curated record. NCBI's taxonomy places the organism in Eukaryota, Metazoa, Chordata, Mammalia, Chiroptera, Rhinolophidae.